GCCGUGUUGCUCAUGUUAUUACAAACCCGGUAAAUAGUCUAAUUCGAUAUGUCACAUUCGUAGUAAAUAGGGAAGUGGAUUGUAGUUACGACAUAAGGAACAUAUCCUUUAUCAUCUGUGAAACGCUUAUUCCAUAACGAUCAACCAACUAGUGAUGUUGUCUGUAAAAUUUACGAAGGGAUGAUUUCAACUUCACCAUUUGGAACUAUUGCUUUAAUACUAUAGCUUCCUUGUGAUCAGCAAUCCUCUAUCAAGGAAAUCAUAAAAGGAAAUACAAGCCCGAGGACAAUCUAAUAUGUAG
This 301-nucleotide long non-coding RNA is filed under the name Mytilus galloprovincialis (Mediterranean mussel). Lineage: Eukaryota; Metazoa; Mollusca; Bivalvia; Mytilida; Mytilidae. The record is from RNAcentral.